This is a long non-coding RNA of Acinonyx jubatus (cheetah), 3837 nucleotides long. RefSeq lists it as uncharacterized. The transcript has 9 exons. The record is from RefSeq and is a predicted model, not a curated record. NCBI's taxonomy places the organism in Eukaryota, Metazoa, Chordata, Mammalia, Carnivora, Felidae.
UCCCUGCUGGCUCGCUCUCUCACUCUCUCUCUCUCAAAAUAAAUACGCGUUCUUAAAAAAUUAAAAAAAUAAAGACCUGGAGCUUUCAAGGGUUUUGUCUUGACAAAGUGCCACCUUCCUAACUCCAGAAUCACUCUUCAGCCCUCAGAGAUCACACACACGGAAUUCAAGCAGUAUCCACACACUCGGACAUCAGCAACACUUCUCUCCAGGGAUGCUGCUCUCAGACACCAUGCAUCCCCCCGCUGCCGCAUCAGCACAGUGUUUCUAACAAGUGGCUAACAAAGCAACCUCGCCUAAAGCGGGUGAAAGCUUAACUUCCUUUUCCUUAAGGCUGCAUUGGCCAAACCUUUCAUUUAUUCUUUCCUCUCCAUUCCAGAGCCUCUCGCGUUACAUUUUCACUUCACCUAAUUAUCUCCAGCAAAACCACUAAAAUUCUAACCGAUCCAACUGAUCCCCCUCAUUUCCAUAGAUAAUCCUCAAACUCAAAGUAUUCCAAAUAGGUCCAGAAAUAGCGCGUGGGCGUGGGAGGCAUGGGGGGAUGAGAAGAACUCCAAGAGACAAAGCCGAACUGCCAGGAGUCAGAGUCAAGGACAGGACCCGGCCACACACUCGCCACGCAUUCAUCUUACCCCUAGCGGCGGAAGGCCUUCCACGACGUUCUUCUUUCCGGAGAGGAGAUCUGACACCGGCCGCUGCUUCAGGGAGUCCCUCCUGGCUCGGUAGCGCCCCGACGUGGCUCCUCCCUGCACCCCACAGGACAUCCCUUUGGGAGCCCGUGUGUGCAGAAGACUAUGCUGAGCACUGAUGGGGGUAAAAGAUGGGAAUCCAGCUCAUUGUAAUCGCAGAUACUGUAAGCUAGCACCCCACAGAGGGCUGUCCGUGUAGUGGCCCCUAAACUGUGACUCUGAGACAGAUGGCAGUGCAGGGCCCAGGACCAAGGACAGGUGGGAAACACAGAUGUGACAACCGUCCCUGCUGAAAUCUGAAACGUGGAUGGGCUGCUGUGGGAGCCUGCCCAGGGAGGGAAGAAGGCCACAGGCAGAUGUUCCCAGGCAGCGAACAACGCUGAUGGCACAGGAGGAGGAGGAGGAGGGGAGGGAAAACCAGAGCACUUAAAAGAGACUGUUCAGGAGAGAAAUCUGGGACGUGCUGGUGAGGAGGACGCGUGGGGCGCUGGGGACCUGGGAGGGCAGCGGAAGGAAUAAACGGGUAACAACCACACAGACACUACUCUCAGAAGCAGCAGGCGGAAAAGGGAGGGGAACAGUAACUCCGACCACUGGUGGAAGAGAGAGGCGUGGCAAGGACAAAGUAUUAGGAUAUCUGCAGACCGAGGAAAAGGGCAGAGUGGUGAGGUAACUCUAACAAUGCAGAGAGAAGAGUCUUUACCCAGAGGUGGAGCACCUGGAGGUGCAGAACCAGACGAGCGCAGGGUGCAAGGAGAGGGCAGUGAGGAAGGCAGAAAAUACCGAGGUGCACACUCUGGGAAUCCACCCCUGAAGCGCUGUUCCCCUAUGGCCUACCAGCCUACCUCACUGGAAAUUGUCAUCUGUGCACGUAAGGCCCGCACACAACACACUCACAACCUACGUCUGGUCCCUUCACACAUCACUUCUACCAGUUUCCUACGCGAGAGUCCAACCAUACCCCUCCUCUCCCCAAUGCCCUUCCUCAUUCUGUGCCAUGGCAUCCACUGUCCCCCCCAAACCAGGGGUAGCAAUCCCAAUCAACUGCCCGCCUCUCUCUCCAGCUGUCUAAAUCCACCCGUCUUUCCAGAAAGCCCUUCUCAAUCUCCCCAACAGGAUGAGACUCUCUUCACAUAAUUGCUUGCCCUCUCCCCUCAAAACAAUCACGUUCUCUUUGUAUUUAUUUGUGUACUAGUCUUAUCCCCUACUAUUAAAGUUUCUUAAGAUGUGGAACUACUUCUCUGCACUCAAUCUCCUUGGCUUUUAGAGCCCUGUACACAGGGUAGAGAGUAAAUGUCUGUGAAUGAAUGCUUGACAUUCAGCUUUGGAGGCACUGCCUUAAAUACAGCUCGCUCUACUAAUCAAGUGAAAAAUAAAAAUAAAUAAAUAAAAAUAAAGUUGAAAUGUUUAAAGCUUUACAAUGGGAAGCUCUCGGGCAGGAAAAAAAAACAAAACGAGCUUGGGAUAUCUUGUGCCAGAAACAAGGAAGCACUCAAAGGCUAACGGGGGAGUAUCAGCAGGACACAGGAGCCGGCCGAAAGGAGCUCCCAUGGGCCGAACUCUGGAUCAUCUGGGUAUCAACAUCUGAUACUGCAUAUUGCGACACAUUUUAAGAAACUGAAUCUAAUGGCAGCUCCUUCUACGAAUCCAGGAUGGCUAUAACCGUGAAAACAAUUGCAAGAGACACCCUUGAAGAUGACCUCCUCCGAACUGGGUUCACUGUGACAGUCUGGGUUUGCCUGUAAAAAUAAGACGUGUCACUGAGACAUACGUACACACAGAUUUCCUAAUUUUGCCAAAGUAAAUCAAUAAGAAGGUAAAAUGAUAAAUCUGCUAAAGUAAAAAGAAGAUAAAACUAACCCAAUCAUAAAUUAGAGAAAAGGAAGGAGACUCUCUUGUCCUCACUUGGGGCCUCCCUACUCUGUGGCUACCCAGAAACCCCCCUCGCCCCCCCUCCAGGGUUUGAGCCUCCUGAUGCAGCAACAUCUGCCUGGACAAUGAGAGGAUCAGCAGGCUGAACAUCUAUCUAAACACAAGACCAAUAAGAAAUUACAAAGGAAAAAAAAAACGAGUGCUCAUCAGGAACUUAACAUCAGGUUGUUGCUAAAGAAGAAGUGUCUCUUUUCCAAAGAAUAUUCCAUCUGCCAGAAUUUAUGUAACUCAAUGACACAACCAAUGUGAAUUCUGUCAGGCUGCAAGAAUACCUGUUAACAACCACCAAAGCAUUAUCAGUCCUAAUGGAGGCCUCCUCGGGGAAACAAGGUUUAGGCAGAAGUGGGUCCUCUGAAGCUCGCAUUUAGUCCACUGUUCAAAUGGACUGAACUUUUAAGACUCUGGGGGCAGUUACUGUGCUGAUGGGUGCUGCUAAAAAUGAGACAGCUGAAGAACUCUUAGGGGAAAAAAAAAUCACUGGAAUGUGUGCACCGGAGAAGACAAACUAAGUAUAUGCUGCUGGCCCAGAGGAGGAAUCACUGAAGAAAUGAUGGUUCAAUAUUAUAAAUACUCUUAAACUUAUGAAAAGUUUGUGUUCUGACAGAGGGCGUAUCUACUGCUUGGAUCUCAGAACACUACUUCUCCAUGAAAAUAAUGUCACACGUGAUUAGGUAACCAGGCCAGUCCAGGAGAGCCCCAAAUGUGACCGCUGUGGACUAGUAGCACCGCUGAAUCUGGCCACCAGGGGAAGCACAUUCAUGCACAAAUACAUCCGGAGCCGCACGCCAGCAGCCGGCAGAGAAAGCAGGGCUCCCCCUCCCGGUCAGUCAGUGCUUUGCACAUCCCACCACCAGAGGAACAGUGGGACUCAGAGAAAAACACGCCUAUGUGGUGUCCAGGGAGGAAGGGAGGGGAGGAGGACUGGGGCUGAGGGGCUAAUCUUUAGCUGGCUCCCCUGCAGGGUCAUCCCUGGUCAUUUCCUUUUCCUUCCUGAGUCCCAAAGACGGGCCUGCCCUGUGCAUGGUUAUUCCUAACCAGUUUCUCUUCACACCUUGGCUCCCUAUAAAACAGAAAGCACUUCCACAGCCUUUCCUCUUCCUUCCUGGCCUUAAGGGACAAAUGUCCUUUCAAGAUCCCCCCCCCCCCCAAAUUAUAAUCAGUAGUAAAAGGAAAUCAACAAGGAACAAAAGGGCUCUUCUCCCCUCUCAUACCCAUC